CUCAGCCUCCCAAAGUACUGAGAUUACAGGCGUGAGCCACCGUGGCUGGCUUGCUUUCUUUUCUUUUUCUUUUUUUUUUCUUUCUUUCUUUCUUUGUUUCUUUCUUUCCUUUCUUUUCUUUCUUUCUGUCUUUCUCUUUCUUUUUCUUUUCUUUCUUCUUUCUUUUCUUCUCUCCCUCCCCUCCCCUCCCCUCCCCUUCCUUCCUUCCUUCCUUCACUCCUUCCUUCCUUCCUUCCAACAGGGACGGUUUAUGGUACUUUAGAUUAGGUUUUGUUACUUGGAACAUUGCAUUCAUAAGAAUCUAGUUAACCUUCCAGGCCCUAAGAAAUCUAGAUUAUAACAAGGGGUAAUUUGAAAGUGGACACAUACCUUCUCAGACCUUGAGCAAGAAACAGAUUUCACUAAAAGUGAGUCUUUUAAUUCAGAAAGAUGUACUCAAUAUUUAAUUAAAGAUAUGAGAUCUAACGAUGUAGGCAGGCUGCGGGAGCAGGGAGUAUGCCCUGUGUAAGGACUCCAUUCAAGAUCCAGAUCAAGAAGUGAGGGGGAAGAUGGAGCUGAGGAUGACACACACUCCUGGUUACAUGUGAGCCAGCUAGUUUGUGUAUGUGUGUGUUUUGGGGGAGGGGCUUGAUACAUUAGAAUUUAAGGAACCCAGCAUGUGAAAGGGCUUUUGUGUGCAUCACAGCGACCUGCUCCACACAAACCAAGGGAACAUAUACUCCCAGGUCAGCAAAGGUAAUGGAUUUGGUGAUUGCAAGUUUAAGAAAACAGACUAAAAUUUAAGCUACAGAAUACCUCCGUUCGCUCUCUCUAUGGAUCCUUAUUCAGCGUUAAUAAAUAAAUGGCUCUGUUUAAAGAUAAAUACUAUUAAGAUAGGAACCAACGUGGGACUUGAGCUUAGAUAUAUAAGGAACAUAGCAAAAAAAAGAUGAAGGAAGUGGAUCACAGAAGGUAUUACCUUCCAAAAACAUGGAAAGAGUUCAAACAAUUUUCCAUAGUCUCAGAGAAAUUAUAGAUAAUGUGAUCAUUCUCUUAAAAAAAAAAAAGAAAGGGUUCAGGCAUGGUGGCUCACGCCUGUAAUCCCAACACUUUGGGAGGCCGAGGCGGGCAGAUCAUGAGGUCAGGAGAUCAAGACCAUCCUGGCUAACAUGGUGAAACCCUGUCUCUACUAAAAAUACAAAAAAAAAUUAGCUGGGCAUAGUGACAGGCACCUGUAGUCCCAGCUACUCGGGAGGUUGAGGCAGGAGAAUGGCGUGAACCCGGGAGGCAGAGCUUUCAGUGAGCCGAGAUCAUGCCACUGCACUCCAGCCUAGGCGAUGGAGUGAGACUCCCUCUCAAAAAAAAAAAAAAAGGAAAAAAGCACUGUUCUUUGGGUUAUAAGAAUUUAAAUGAGAGAUUCUAAGCCCAUAUAAGGAGAUGAAAAAUAAGCUUACAGUACGCAAAAAAGAAAUGAAAGAAAAAUGUAUCAAGAGGAAAGCUACAUUAGGAAUAAAAAAUUAGAAUAAAACAGGUGAAAAUACAGUAGGACAUGGUGGACAGGCUAGAAGAAAUCUUACAAAAAGAAAUGAAUAAUAAAGCUAUGAAAAUGAUUAUUGAGAUAGAUAUGGAAGAAUGAAACUUGUUUUCCUGAAGAAGAUAAUUAUCUUCCUUCACUUCCUCUGCUAACGCUGUCUUACUGUGAAUUGUCAGACACUUUUCUAAGUCCUUUGCGUAUAUUAAGUCAUUUAAUAUUCACAACAACUCAUGAAGAAUGGAAGAGAUCAGAGCAGAAAGAAGAAAAAUAUUAAGACAUAACAGAAGAAAACUUUCUGAAACAAAUACUUAAAUCUGAAGCUCAAAUGGACACAUGGUAUUCCAAGAAAAAUUUGAUAUGGAAUAAUCCAUACUAAGACAUUUCCACCAGUGCUCAGCACUAGAACACUACCCAGUACAUAGUACGCACUCAGUGAAUAAUUGUUGAUUGGGCGGGCAAAUGGAAGAAAGUUUCAUAUGGCUCUCCCGGCUGAAUGAACAAGUCACAUAAAAGGAGAAGAAGACAGGCUGGCUUCUGGUUUUCUUAAAGAAUCACUCAGUGCCAGAAGGCAGUAAUGUCUAUGAAGUCCUAAGUGUAAUAAGGGGUAACUGAAGAAUUGUAUUGCCAGUCCAGUUGUACAGAAGCAACAGAUAGACACUUUCAAUAUGAAUGAACUGAGGGAAUAUACUACUCAUGCACUUUCCAGAAAACCUGUAGACAACAAAAUGAUGAGUCAAAAUUCAAAACCUAGAAAUGAAGAAGCUAUGGUAAAAGCAUUCAUGGUGAGUACAGUAAUGAUUUUGUUUUCGUAUUGGAUUAAAACUAAACAACUCUGCUUAUGGAACAGAAACCUUGACAAUGUGGUAGUAAUAUAAAUAACCAAAACCAGUACUUGGGAGGAAGUGUGAGUACUGAUUUCUUUACUUUCAUAAUGGGGAAUAGAUUUGUCAGUAGCUAAAGUCUGAAAUUGCAAUAUAUAGUUGAAAAAAUAAUGAUUUCAGCAUCCUAAUGUUUUUCAUUACUUUUUUCUUAACUUUAGAGAGAUCUUUUAGAAACUAUUCUCUCUUUGUGAAGACCCAUUCAUCUGAAGUUCUACAAUUCCUUCAGUUUCACCUCAAUUUCUGUUUCUUUGUUAAGUUCAAGCAAAGUUUAUACUUAAUGCUUUUUCACUACAAUAACAUGUAUGGUAUGAUUCCAUUUAUAUGUAUCCAUUUACCUGCCCUCCCUCCUGCCCUUCUGUUCUUUCAUUCUUCUAUCUUUUCCUCUGAACAUCUGCAGAAAUAUGUCUGGAAUGAUGUUGACCACAUAUUAUGAUGUUUAUUUCUGGGUGGUGGGAUCCUGGAUAAUUUUUUUAAAAUCUUCUUUGUACUUUAUUAUAUUGCCUGGCUUUUAAAAAAUAAUAAAUAUAUCAUUUUUUCAAAAACAA
This 2939-nucleotide long non-coding RNA is filed under the name Homo sapiens (human). RNAcentral describes it as "HSALNT0111256". Lineage: Eukaryota; Metazoa; Chordata; Mammalia; Primates; Hominidae. The record is from RNAcentral.